ACUCGGGGAUAGCCUUUCGAAAGAAAGAUUAAUACCCGAUAGUAUAAUCAUUCCGCAUGGUCUGAUUAUUAAAGGAUUCCGGUAAAGGAUGGGGAUGCGUUCCAUUAGGUUGUUGGUGAGGUAACGGCCCACCAAGCCUUCGAUGGAUAGGGGUUCUGAGAGGAAGGUCCCCCACAUUGGAACUGAGACACGGUCCAAACUCCUACGGGAGGCAGCAGUGAGGAAUAUUGGUCAAUGGGCGCGAGCCUGAACCAGCCAAGUAGCGUGAAGGAUGACUGCCCUAUGGGUUGUAAACUUCUUUUAUAUUAGAAUAAAGUGCAGUAUGUAUACUGUUUUGUAUGUAUAAUAUGAAUAAGGAUCGGCUAACUCCGUGCCAGCAGCCGCGGUAAUACGGAGGAUCCGAGCGUUAUCCGGAUUUAUUGGGUUUAAAGGGAGCGUAGGUGGACUGGUAAGUCAGUUGUGAAAGUUUGCGGCUCAACCGUAAAAUUGCAGUUGAUACUGUCAGUCUUGAGUACAGUAGAGGUGGGCGGAAUUCGUGGUGUAGCGGUGAAAUGCUUAGAUAUCACGAAGAACUCCGAUUGCGAAGGCAGCUCACUGGACUGCAACUGACACUGAUGCUCGAAAGUGUGGGUAUCAAACAGGAUUAGAUACCCUGGUAGUCCACACAGUAAACGAUGAAUACUCGCUGUUUGCGAUAUACAGUAAGCGGCCAAG
This 714-nucleotide ribosomal RNA is filed under the name uncultured bacterium. Its description in RNAcentral is "bacterial SSU rRNA". It matches the Rfam family "Bacterial small subunit ribosomal RNA", at positions 135 to 851 of the family's 1533-position model. The record is from RNAcentral.